This 163-nucleotide ribosomal RNA is filed under the name uncultured bacterium. RNAcentral describes it as "partial 16S ribosomal RNA". It matches the Rfam family "Bacterial small subunit ribosomal RNA", at positions 355 to 509 of the family's 1533-position model. The record is from RNAcentral.
UAGGGAAUCUUCGGCAAUGGACGAAAGUCUGACCGAGCAACGCCGCGUGAGUGAAGAAGGUUUUAGGAUCGUAAAACUCUGUUGGUAGAGAAGAACGUUGGUGAGAGUGGAAAGCUCAUCAAGUGACGGUAACUACCCAGAAAGGGACGGCUAACUACGUGCC